This 253-nucleotide ribosomal RNA is filed under the name uncultured bacterium. Its description in RNAcentral is "partial 16S ribosomal RNA". It matches the Rfam family "Bacterial small subunit ribosomal RNA", at positions 524 to 776 of the family's 1533-position model. The record is from RNAcentral.
UACGGAGGGUGCAAGCGUUAUCCGGAUUCACUGGGUUUAAAGGGUGCGUAGGAGGGCAGGUAAGUCAGUGGUGAAAUCUCCAAGCUUAACUUGGAAACUGCCGUUGAUACUAUCUGUCUUGAAUACCGUGGAGGUGAGCGGAAUAUGUCAUGUAGCGGUGAAAUGCUUAGAUAUGACAUAGAACACCAAUUGCGAAGGCAGCUCGCUACACGAAUAUUGACUCUGAGGCACGAAAGCGUGGGUAGCGAACAGG